This 557-nucleotide ribosomal RNA is filed under the name Christensenellaceae bacterium. RNAcentral's name for it is "bacterial SSU rRNA". It matches the Rfam family "Bacterial small subunit ribosomal RNA", at positions 1 to 565 of the family's 1533-position model. The record is from RNAcentral. Lineage: Bacteria; Bacillati; Bacillota; Clostridia; Christensenellales; Christensenellaceae.
AUUAAACACAAGAGUUUGAUCCUGGCUCAGGACGAACGCUGGCGGCGCGCCUAACACAUGCAAGUCGAACGGGGUAUAUAGUUAAGUAAUUGAUUGUAUACCUAGUGGCGGACGGGUGAGUAACGCGUGAGCAACCUGCCUCUAACAGGGGGAUAACGUACCGAAAGGCACACUAAUACCGCAUAAAAUGUAGUUGCGCAUGUAACUAAAUAGAAAGGGAUUACCGGUUAGAGAUGGGCUCGCGUCCGAUUAGAUAGUUGGUAGGGUAAUAGCCUACCAAGUCAACGAUCGGUAGCCGACCUGAGAGGGUGAUCGGCCACAUUGGAACUGAGAACGGUCCAAACUCCUACGGGAGGCAGCAGUGGGGAAUCUUGGGCAAUGGGGGGAACCCUGACCCAGCGACGCCGCGUGAGGGAAGAAGGUUUUCGGAUUGUAAACCUCUGUUCUUGGUGAAGAGUAUAAGACGGUAGCCAAGGAGGAAGCCCCGGCUAACUACGUGCCAGCAGCCGCGGUAAUACGUAGGGGGCGAGCGUUGUCCGGAAUGAUUGGGCGUAAAG